Molecule: long non-coding RNA, 536 nt
Organism: Frieseomelitta varia
Lineage: Eukaryota; Metazoa; Arthropoda; Insecta; Hymenoptera; Apidae
Exons: 3
Source: RefSeq, a predicted model, not a curated record
GACACUUUUUAAUGCUUCGAGAAACAGAAUUUCAUCGAGAUUUUGCAUGUGCGCGAUAUACAUUAAAAAGUGUAGCAUGUUACACGGCCUUCCAUCGAAUUGCGCUCAAACGUAUGAUGUACUUCACGUACCAUACAAGAUAUUCUACAUGAAUUUCUGAAAAUGAACAUUCUAAUGAAGAUGCACCACACACCUGUCAAGAAUUCUCUAACUUCGAACAAUAGAGACGAGACGUAUGUAUAUACGAAUAUGUGUGCAAAUAUAUUAGCGUACAUCAAUCUGUGCUAUAUGUAAAAUAAUAUAAAUUUAAAAUAGUCUCGUGCAUACCAUUAUAAAAAACAUUGACCUUUAUAUUGUGGACGUUACAUAAUAUUACUCGAAUAACGAAUAAAUCUACGAUCUAUAGUGAGAUGAUUAAAUCGAAGGACACCUUCUCUUGUUGUAUUUGGAUCUAGAGGACGGAGCAGUACUAGCAGGUGUAUCUAUUGCUGCAGUUACCAGUACCACCAGGAACCAGGUAGCAACAGACAUGGAUG